GCGCCGGUGGUUUAAGGCGAACAUCGCUGCCCGGAAAGCAGAAGAUUCGGGUUCGAGUCCCGCCUGGCGCA
Non-coding RNA from Heligmosomoides polygyrus, 71 nucleotides. NCBI's taxonomy places the organism in Eukaryota, Metazoa, Nematoda, Chromadorea, Rhabditida, Heligmosomidae. The record is from Rfam.